This 23-nucleotide non-coding RNA is filed under the name Arabidopsis thaliana (thale cress). The record is from RNAcentral. Lineage: Eukaryota; Viridiplantae; Streptophyta; Magnoliopsida; Brassicales; Brassicaceae.
CCCUAGAAACAUCUAGAUGAUGG